RNAcentral lists this long non-coding RNA (342 nucleotides) under Manihot esculenta (cassava). Its description in RNAcentral is "long non-coding RNA (MESC_LNC003505)". The record is from RNAcentral. Lineage: Eukaryota; Viridiplantae; Streptophyta; Magnoliopsida; Malpighiales; Euphorbiaceae.
AUUUUUAUAAUUUUAAAUUUUGUUUAAAAGCCAUGUGUAAUGCAUGCACAUGGCAGUGCUAAUGUGAAUGCAGUGAAUGUGCAUUCACAUUAGUACAGUAACCUACAUCAUGUAGGUUACUGUGCUAACGUGAAUUUAUUCAGUCCGUGCGCUUGUUCGGCAGUGGUAGUGUCGAACUAGAACUGCUCCCUCGCCUAUAAAUACUUCCAUGAUUCACUCUAUAACUCACAACAAAUCACUCCAUUGUAUCUCAAAAAAUUUCUUUCUCUAAAUUAUUUCUUCCCCUCAACAAAUUUCACAAAAUUUUUAUUUCUACUGUUAUCGAUUCAAUUACAAAAGAAG